GGGUUAGGGUUGGGCUUGGAGCUAGGAUUUUUCUGAGUGCACUGAACCAACUCCCGAGUCUCUAGGACAUUCCUAAAAAAAUUUGAUUUUUUCCCAUAGGAAUGCAUGGGUUAGGGUUAGGGUUAGGGUUGGAGCUAGGGUUAGGGUUAGGGUUAGGGUUGGAGUUAGGGUUAGUGUUGGAGCUAGGGUUAGGGUUGGGCUUGGAGCUAGGAUUUUUCUGAGUGCACUGAACCAACUCCCGAGUCUCUAGGACAUUCCUAAAAAAUUUGAUUUUUUUCCCAUAGGAAUGCAUGGGUUAGGGUUAUGGUUAGGGUUAGGGUUGGAGCUAGGGUUAGGGUUAGGGUUAGGGUUGGAGUUAGGGUUAGUGUUGGAGCUAGGGUUAGGGUUGGGCUUGGAGCUAGGAUUUUUCUGAGUGCACUGAACCAACUCCCGAGUCUCUAGGACAUUCCUAAAAAAAUUUGAUUUUUUCCCAUAGGAAUGCAUGGGUUAGGGUUAUGGUUAGGGUUAGGGUUGGAGCUAGGGUUAGGGUUAGGGUUAGGGUUGGAGUUAGGGUUAGUGUUGGAGCUAGGGUUAGGGUUGGGCUUGGAGCUAGGAUUUUUCUGAGUGCAAUGAACCAACUCCCGAG
Non-coding RNA from Xyrichtys novacula (pearly razorfish), 625 nucleotides. NCBI's taxonomy places the organism in Eukaryota, Metazoa, Chordata, Actinopteri, Labriformes, Labridae. The record is from the annotation of a GenBank genome assembly.